This is a non-coding RNA of Pelobates cultripes (western spadefoot toad), 533 nucleotides long. Lineage: Eukaryota; Metazoa; Chordata; Amphibia; Anura; Pelobatidae. The record is from the annotation of a GenBank genome assembly.
AGCUGAAGUGCAGGUUGCCUAUGCCUGGUAUAGUAUUUCAAAAGUGCAAAUGAGAAAGGGGUGAUUGGUGUGUGUGUGUUAGGGCACUCCAGGCAUAACUACGACUGCCUGCUGUAGUGAUUAUGGUGCCUGGUGUGUUCAUUUUUAUAGCUGCAGUGUCGAAUAGGUAGAUACCCAGAUGUUUCAUGAUGCAUUGAUCUUGUAAUGACUUUAUUAAAGCUUCCUUCUACAAUAUCGGGGACCUAGCUUUUGGGCACCCCUGCUCCUAUAAGAAUCAAAACCACUUUAGUGUACAGAAGCAUUUUUGGUGUAUAUAUCACGACCCUGCAGUCUCAAUGCUCAGUUCUCUGCUAUUUAGGAGUUAAAUCGCUUUGUUUAUUGAGCCCUAGUCACACCACCUUGUAUGUGACUUACAUAGCCUGGGGAGGUGUGGCUAGGGCUGCAUGGACAGAAACGAGUGAUUUUAAUGCCAAUAUGGGAGAGAACUGAGCAGUAAACCUGCAGGGCCAUGAUAUAUUCACAAAAAGUGCUUC